This 484-nucleotide ribosomal RNA is filed under the name uncultured bacterium. RNAcentral describes it as "partial 16S ribosomal RNA". It matches the Rfam family "Bacterial small subunit ribosomal RNA", at positions 30 to 507 of the family's 1533-position model. The record is from RNAcentral.
AUUGAACGCUGGCGGCAGGCCUAACACAUGCAAGUCGAGCGGAUGAAGUGUGCUUGCUCCUGGAUUCAGCGGCGGACUGGUGUGUAAUGCCUAGGAAUCUGCCUUGUUGUGGUGUAUAACGUCCGGAAACGGGCGCUAAUACCGCAUCCUUCCUGAGUGUGAAAGUUGUGUUUCUUCGUACCUCUCGCUUUCUUAUUAUCCUAGGUCGGAUUUUCUAGUUGGUGUGGUAAAGGCCUACCAAGGCUACGAUCCGUAACUGGUCUGAGAGGAUGAUCAGUCAAACGGGAAGUGAGACACGGACCAGAGAACUACGGGAGGAAGCAGUGGGGAAUAGUGGACAAUGGGCGAAAGAAUGAUAAAGAAAGGCCGCGUGUGUGAAGAAGGUCUUAGGAUUGUAAAGCAAGUUAAGUUGGGAGGAAGGGAAGUAAGUUAAUAACUGGAUGUAUUGACGUUAACAAAAGAAAAAGCAACGGCUAAAUACGUG